CACUCCGCAUGGGUCAAAGGGCCAGCGCAUGCCUUUUAUGCGUUGUCGCCAGCCAUAAUGUGCAGGUCGGACAUGAGGCAAUAAAAGCUUGGCCCACCAACCACAUGGUUCCUACCGCCCUGUCAACGUAGAGCCGUGCUGUUUGAAGUCAUCACAGAUAUAAACUACACGUUGCAGCAACUCUCAAUCGCAUUCCUGCCCGUCAUGUCGAACAGCGUAGCGCUAAUUUCAGUUUGAGGUCUGCACUCUUACUACAAUGCAGAUGGUGACAGCAUCAGGCUGCACUCGGUAAGUUAGUUUGAGACCGGUUCUUUGUGCGGCACUCCGCGAGUGCGAUGCACUCUAUGAGAUGACUCGCAUAAUGCCAGUGCAUUUGAAACAGCUUGCUAUAAGGCCCGCUACUCAUGGGAUAAGUUACUCAUAUAGUUUUGGGGCAGCUGAUGAGUUAUUCCCCCCUCCACAGCAACACGCAUUGCUGAUUUUGGGUACGACUUGAAACCGAUGAGCAGCUCCGACAACUCUAAGGUGUUUGAAGCGGCAGGAGCAGUUCAGGGACACAAUAUUUCCACGUGACCUCCCUUGCAGUAGUGGUGAUGGUGCGUUCAGUAUCAACUCCCUCAGCUCCGAACGGAGUAACUUGACUUGGAGUUCUCAGUGCAUUUUAGAACACCUUCAAAAAAAUCCCAAAGAAAGCUGCUUUUUUUUUUUUUGUGGAUGUCAUGUCUGUUGGAUUUUUCACUAGCCACUGUUGUUAAACUUCCAGAACUCUAUGUGCCGAGAAAUUGAGAGAGAGGUGGGGAUGAGAGUGCAGGAAUGUCAAAACGCAGAGCUCUGAUUGGAGCGAUUAGUGGGUAGACCUAAAGCUAACUGCCUUUGUCUGUACUGCACAUGCAGAACGUCGGUGUCCAGCGUUUCGCAUUCACAUUCGAAUGGGUUUGACGAGUGCAGUGGAGAUAAAGGCAGCCUUUGUUUCUGCUGCACUCGUUGAACAUGUUCGACUGCAGAACGCGGGCAUCCAGUGUUUGGCUCUCGCAUUGAAAUGUCCUCGACGAGUGCAGUGGAGACAAAGGCACCUGGCUUUAGGUGUACCCACCAAUCCUUCUAACCAGAGCUCGGGUGUCCUGACGUCCUUGCGUGCUCUCUUCCACUCUUCUCCCUCAUUUUCUUGGCACAUGCAUCAUGGGCAGAUUUUAAGGAUGGGGGACUAAAGCCCCCAAGGUUAACUUUUUUCAGUGAAAAAUCUACAUAUGCCAGCUUUUGUUAGGA
Molecule: long non-coding RNA, 1266 nt
Organism: Ixodes scapularis (black-legged tick)
Lineage: Eukaryota; Metazoa; Arthropoda; Arachnida; Ixodida; Ixodidae
Exons: 3
Source: RefSeq, a predicted model, not a curated record